UAGGCCAAUUGGACUAGUUUUGAACUAAAGUCAACAGGUGCUACCAACUUCUGUGAAGGCUUGGCCCUGUCCAUUGGAGUCGGGAGUCUUCUCCUUCAUUGGGUCUGGCAAGAAGGCAGACUCCUAAGGCUACCAGACUCGAGCAGAACCCUAGGAAAUCCGCCUCCCUCCUCUCCGUGACCCUCCACCACAAGCUUUGUGCCUCCUCUCUUCUUUCUCCCUUUUUCUCCCUGUUUUGCUAGUUUUCUUUCACUGUGGCCAUUGGAAAUCGAGGCUAAGAACGCUACUGAAGUCGAGGUUUGGGUGAUUUGCAUAAUUAAACUUUGAAGGUUCCACAGAGGAAGAGGUUGGAGUUCUGAGCUGGAGCAAUUGGGAAGAGGAGAGAAAGGAGGGCUUGGAAGAGCCGAAAGAGAAGAAGAGAUUUGAGAAAUCUAUUGGAAACUUGAGGAAGAUGUUGGGUUGUGCUUGAGGUGUAGAGGGCUAAGGAGUGGUUGUCUUUGCAAGGGUGUGGACCAAAAUUUGCAGACCAGGCAUGGAGGGAAAACACUACAAUAUUUCCAAUAGUGUGAACUGUGAAGUUAUGGGUCUAAGGUAACAUCAUUCUCUCUUUUCCAAUCAGUUUUUUUUCUUGAGUGGUUUUAGGACAGGAAAUUAAUCCAAUUGGGCACAGGUGGACAUAGACUUGGAAGAGUGAGAGACUUGCCAUAUUUGUAUGUCAAGAAAUUAUUGCAGGAGGUUCUUUGAUCAGACUUCUAAUUUAUGUGUAACUUUGAAGAGGAUGGACACGAGGGCAUGAGGUGGGAAGCAAAUUGGGUGUAGUAAGCUAUUAUCAGCACUGUCAAAAUGAGCGAUCCCAAUUGAAUUGGGUGUACAGACUUUGAAUUUGACACGCCUUGUACAUGGAAACACUGAAGAGUCCCAGAGACUAAGAACAGGAAAGCAAAUGAGACAUUUAUCUUGCCUUAUCCUUUGGAUAAAUGCCAAACAUAUCAUAUUGUGGGUUGGAACCAUGCAUCCUUAACAAUUUGGUCAAACUAGGGAUAAUUGGGGAUCAGCAAUUCCUUAGGGUCUCCAGAAUUCCACUAUCUCCAUCUUUUAUCCCUAAUUGAUUAGUGAAAAUACCAAAGAAGUUCUUUAUUAGCAAAAGGUAACCGA
Molecule: non-coding RNA, 1155 nt
Organism: Phoenix dactylifera (date palm)
Lineage: Eukaryota; Viridiplantae; Streptophyta; Magnoliopsida; Arecales; Arecaceae
Source: RefSeq, a predicted model, not a curated record